Long non-coding RNA from Oncorhynchus masou masou (cherry salmon), 3378 nucleotides. RefSeq lists it as uncharacterized. The record is from RefSeq and is a predicted model, not a curated record. Lineage: Eukaryota; Metazoa; Chordata; Actinopteri; Salmoniformes; Salmonidae. The transcript has 3 exons.
GGAACCAUGGUCUUGUGGCUCUGAGCUCCAAGUCUGUGUACUCGGUGGAAAGCCACCUUGUUUACAGUCUCUAUAGGAAGUUUCAAGGCGGACUGCAUGAAUUCUCUGAUCGCGCACUCUGGAUUAUUGGAUGCGUCCUCAGGAAUCCCAUAAAAAUAACAUAUUUCCACGCAUGCUACGACUUUGUAUGUCUAGUAGCGACUCCUUCAGCACCCUGUUUUCCCUGAGUAGACCAUCCAUUUUGGAAUCGUGGAUUUUUGUCUUGGCUGUGAGUGUCUUGUUUCUUCUUUGGAGCUGCUAACUCCCCCUCAGCCCUGCUACCUCCUCACACAACUUUUCCAGUGUUGCAUGGAUUCCAGCCAGAGAACUAGCCUCUACCUCAAUAAAUAUCAGCAAGGAGCAGAGACAGAUGGCUGCUAUCCACUGCAGCGCCAUCUUAAAUUUGGAGGAACUGCAGAGCAAGAAUGUCGUGUUGCCAGCCACAAUGAUAGAUGGGAGAGUGAGUCAGUACCUUCCAGGUUCUUGGAGAACAGGACCUGUAUGAGCAGCCAGAUGAAGAGGAGGACCACAACACCCUCGAUCAUCCCCUUGCAGCAGAAGAAGAGUACAGACUGCCAUACAGGCUGGUUGAGGUCCUCUUCCUCCAGGUGAUAAGGCAUGGUGACACCUGCCAGGGAGCCAGCUCUGGAAGCUCUGUAACACUGUGUAAGUCUUCUGUAGGCCCCUUCCUCUUCUUCAGCCAGUUGAGCUCUGAUCAUUUCUGUCAGACACCUACAGUAUAAGCUCCAGCCUCUCACUCCUGUAGUCACCCUUUUCCCCUUUUAGCUUGGAGGAGCUGGAGGGUAUUCAAGGAUUUGUUCAUAUAAGUUCCCAGCUAAAAUUACAAAAAUAAGAAUUAAAAGAGCAAAACGUGAUGCAGAUGUUGUGAUACAGAAUGGUCCAUUAAUCCUCACAUUAUGCUCUGACAAGCGUCAACAAAAAAAUGACAAACUUGGUCUUCGUUUCAAAGUCCACAAAGCAGUUAGUUCGGCUGACCCAUGCUGAGUUGCUUCAUUCCACAGCUGAAACGAUCGCUCAUUCAGUGAAGUGGCAGGUGCUCCGGGCCAUUAUGGCGAUGUGAUGUGGAUAUCCCCAUGACUUCUCAACAAUACCCUUGUUCUAUUCUGUAAUCUCUCCAGGACAGUAACCCCUUCUCCCUUGCAGAGAGGGGGAGGCUGGUGGGGUGGUGUAGGCACAAUACUUUUGAGCCAAGUGUCAAUGAAGGGAGGUUUGUUCGUCCUGCAGUUUUUAUCUCUGGCUAGAUUUCUCUCAUAACUGCAGUCGUGUCCCAGCUACCAACUCUCCCCACUCCAUGCCAAAUACGCAAACACUGUCAGCACAAUUCCCCCUCCCUUUCUUUUGUGACCUGCAAGCUGUCACUUCCAUUAGCAAGUUCUGGUCUGCAGACUGCAGAGAUGCUCACUCUGUUGCAAACUGCCUGCACAUACACUUUCUCACUGCCAUUCAGAGAAGCAGGGAACUCUUCACUGGCCCAUGGCCAACAUUUAGAUUGCAUUCAGUGUUCACCUCAAUUACUGUAAUGGAACGCAAUUUGUGUGUGUGUGUAAAAAAAGACAGGGGGGGGGGUGUAGCAUUUCAAUGUCUUCUGUAUUGUCCACAUAUAGGAGUGUGAUAACAUGAGCCAGAAUAUCAAGUCUUUCAUAUCUUGUUGGACUACUUUAUGCUGACUGGUGUUCCAUUCCACUCCACAUUAUAUCCAGAUCCAAAUGACACUAUAUUUCAAAUGGAGGUACACUGAGUGAUAUAUUCUAAUGAUUGUGUCCAUAGUCAGUUUAAAAAAACAUGUUUGCAGGUGGGGAAAACCCUCAAACCUAUAUCAUGUUAUCCAAGUACAAUAACGUCAAACAACUGAGGGAUACAGGGUUAUCACUAAGCUGGGAAAAUGCUGCUAUCUAUUGAUCAUCAGUAAAAAACACUAUUUUACACCCCAAAAAAAACAAAUAAAAAGAUGGAUGUUUCCCUCUAAGGAAAUACUGGUUCACUUACUCCUUUGACCCACUAAAAGGCUCAUUGUUGUUUGAAGGGGAAUGGAAGCAAAGAGAUGUAUUCAAUCCACUAAUACUAAACAUGUGCAUUUAACAUAGAAACAUCUCUAUUUUUUCUUGAACAAUAUUUAUUAGAGGUAUGAGUAGCGGAGUAGCGCCAUCUUAAAUUGUCAUAGUAACGACUGACACCAAUGUGACAUUGGUAGGAAUGAGCAAAUUGUGUGUUUUGGAGACUGAAUAGACUAGUGGCAAGUCCGCAUUGAUGUUCAUGUACCCCUACCCGAAGUAUAACAAAGCACAACCAUGUUUAUCUAUAUCUCUAAGGUCUCCCAUAUAUGAAAUGGAUGGUUGUGUAAAAACAUUUUACUGCAAAAGUGCUUCAAUUACAUAGAUAUUGUGACACGACCCCUUUACUCAAACAGCAUUUUUGAUGUAAUUGUUUUCAAUGAUAACUGUACAAAAUAAAAUGCUCAUAUUGACAAUUUGAAGAGCAUUUAUCAUUAGGUAGCCGGCUAGUGAUGGCUAUUUAACAGUCUGAUGGCCUUGAGAUAGAAGCUGUUUAUCAUUCUCUCGGUCCCAGCUUUUAUGCAACUGUACUGACCUCGCCUUCUGAAUGAUAGCGGGGUGAACAGGCAGUGGCUCAGGUGAUUUAUGCCCUUGAUGAUCUUUUUGGCCUUCCUGUGACAUCGGGUGCUGUAGGUGUCCUGGAGGGCAGGCAGUGUGCCCCCGGUGAUGCGUUGGGCAGACCGCACCUCCCUCUGGAGAGCCCUGCGGUUGUGGGCGGUGCAGUUGCCAUACCAGGCAGCGAUACAGCUCAACAGCAUGCUCUCAAUUGUGCAUCUGUAAAGGUUUCUGAGAGUUUUAGGGGUCAAGCCAAAUUUCUUCAGCCUCCUGAUGUUGAAGAGGUGCUGUGGCGCCUACUUCACAACACUGUCUGUGUGGGUGGACCAUUUCAGAUUGUCAGUGAUAUGUAUGCCAAAGAACUUGAAGCUUUACACCUUCUUCACUGCGGUCUCGUCGAUGUGGAUAGGGGCGUGCUCCCUCUGAUGUCUCCUGAAGUCCAUGAUCAGCUCCUUUGUUUUGUUGAGGGAGAGGUUAUUUUCCUGGCAGGGCCCUCACCUCUUCCCUGUAGGCUGUCUCGUCAUUGUUGUUUAUCAUGCCUACUACUGUUAUGUUGUCUGCAACUUGAUGAUUGAGUUGGAGGUGUGCGCGGCCACGCAGUCAUGGGUGAACAGGGAGUACAGGAGGGGGCUGAGCACGCACCCUUGUGGGGCCCCAGUGUUGAGAAUCAGUGUAGUGGAGAUUGCUGUUUCCUACCUUCACCACCUGGGGG